UGGCUUAGUCGGUUAAGCAUCUGACUUCAGCUCAGGUCAUGAUCUCACGGUUCGUGGGUUCGAGUCCCAC
RNAcentral lists this transfer RNA (70 nucleotides) under Felis catus (domestic cat). It matches the Rfam family "tRNA", at positions 8 to 63 of the family's 71-position model. From Rfam's summary of the family: Transfer RNA (tRNA) molecules are approximately 80 nucleotides in length. Their secondary structure includes four short double-helical elements and three loops (D, anti-codon, and T loops). The record is from Rfam by way of RNAcentral. RNAcentral also lists the same sequence under 2 other names. Lineage: Eukaryota; Metazoa; Chordata; Mammalia; Carnivora; Felidae.